Molecule: ribosomal RNA, 484 nt
Filed under: uncultured bacterium
Lineage: Bacteria
Description: partial 16S ribosomal RNA
Rfam family: Bacterial small subunit ribosomal RNA
Source: RNAcentral
AUUGAACGCUGGCGGCAGGCCUAACACAUGCAAGUCGAGCGGAUGAAGGGAGCUUGCUCCUGGAUUCAGCGGCGGACGGGUGAGUAAUGCCUAGGAAUCUGCCUGGUAGUGGGGGAUAACGUCCGGAAACGGGCGCUAAUACCGCAUACGUCCUGAGGGAGAAAGUGGGGGAUCUUCGGACCCCACGCUAUCAGAUGAGCCUAGGUCGGAUUAGCUAGUUGGUGGGGUAAAGGCCUACCAAGGCGACGAUCCGUAACUGGUCUGAGAGGAUGAUCAGUCACACUGGAACUGAGACACGGUCCAGACUCCUACGGGAGGCAGCAGUGGGGAAUAUUGGACAAUGGGCGAAAGCCUGAUCCAGCCAUGCCGCGUGUGUGAAGAAGGUCUUCGGAUUGUAAGGCACUUUAAGUUGGGAGGAAGGGCAGUAAGUUAAUACCUUGCUGUUUUGACGUUACCAACAGAAUAAGCACCGGCUAACUUCGUG